CAGUCGCCACGGGAAUACGAAGGGUGCAAGCGUUAAUCGGAAUUACUGGGCGUAAAGCGUGCGUAGGCGGUUUGUUAAGUCUGUUGUGAAAUCCCCGGGCUCAACCUGGGAAUGGCAAUGGAUACUGGCAAGCUAGAGUGUGUCAGAGGAUGGUGGAAUUCCCGGUGUAGCGGUGAAAUGCGUAGAGAUCGGGAGGAACAUCAGUGGCGAAGGCGGCCAUCUGGGACAACACUGACGCUGAGGCACGAAAGCGUGGGGAGCAAACAGGAUUAGAUACCCCCGUAGUCCCUGUCUCUUAUAC
Molecule: ribosomal RNA, 301 nt
Filed under: uncultured bacterium
Lineage: Bacteria
Description: partial 16S ribosomal RNA
Rfam family: Bacterial small subunit ribosomal RNA
Source: RNAcentral